Molecule: ribosomal RNA, 3067 nt
Filed under: Corynebacterium propinquum
Lineage: Bacteria; Bacillati; Actinomycetota; Actinomycetes; Mycobacteriales; Corynebacteriaceae
Description: 23S ribosomal RNA
Rfam family: Bacterial large subunit ribosomal RNA
Source: RNAcentral
GUUGUGUGUUGUAAGGGCGCAUGGUGGAUGCCUUGGCAUGCUAAGCCGAUGAAGGACGUGGAAGGCUGCGUUAUGCCUCGGGGAGUUGUCAAUCGAGCGUUGAUCCGAGGAUGUCCGAAUGGGGAAACCCGGCUGUGGUUAUUCGCAGUCACCUGCUGGUGAAUAUAUAGCCAGUAUGGGGUUACGCGGGGAAGUGAAACAUCUCAGUACCCGUAGGAGAAGGAAACAAUAUGUGAUUUCGUGAGUAGCGGCGAGCGAAAGCGAAUGGUGGCUAAACCGUAUGUGUGUGAUACUUGGUAGAGGUUGCAUGUGCGGGGUUGUUGGGAGCGAUUGUAUGACUACUACCAUGGUUGUGCCAGUGUGCGCGUGUUAGGUGAAGUGGUUUGGAAUGGCCCACCGGAGUGGGUGAGAGUCCUGUAGCUGAAGGCAUGUGUGUGUUGGUUGAUUGUUUCCCGAGUAGCGGCGGGCUCGUGGAAUCUGCCGUGAAUCUGCCGGGACCACCCGGUAAGCCUAAAUACUUAGUGUGACCGAUAGCGGAUAGUACCGUGAGGGAAUGGUGAAAAGUACCCCGGGAGGGGAGUGAAAUAGUUCCUGAAACCAUGUGCUUACAAUCCGUCAGAGCACCUUUUGUUGUGUGAUGGCGUGCCUUUUGAAGAAUGAGCCUGCGAGUCAGCGGCAUGUCGCGAGGUUAACCCGUGUGGGGUAGUCGUAGCGAAAGCGAAUCCUAAUUGGGUGUUGUUAGUGGCAUGUCCUGGACCCGAAGCGGGGUGAUCUACCCAUGGCCAGUGUGAAGCAGCUGUAAGAGGUUGUGGAGGCGCGAACCCACGUAGGUUGAAAACUGCGGGGAUGAGCUGUGGGUAGGGGUGAAAGGCCAAUCAAACUCCGUGAUAGCUGGUUCUCCCCGAAAUGCAUUUAGGUGCAGCGUCGUAGUUGAGCUUUGUGGAGGUAGAGCUACUGUUUGGUUGAGCGGGACUAUCAUCUUAGCAACAUCAGACAAACUCCGAAUGCCAUGUAAGUGUUCUACGGCAGUGAGACUGUGGGGGAUAAGCUUCAUAGUCGAGAGGGAAACAGCCCAGAUCGCCGGCUAAGGCCCCUAAGGGUGUACUAAGUGGAAAAGGAUGUGGGAUCGCGAUGACAGCCAGGAGGUUGGCUUAGAAGCAGCCAUCCUUGAAAGAGUGCGUAAUAGCUCACUGGUCGAGUGGUUCUGCGCCGAUAAUGUAGUGGGGCUCAAGUACACCGCCGAAGCCGCGGCAACCAUCUUUGAGGAUGGUUGGGUAGGGGAGCGUCGUGCAUGAGGUGAAGCAUGAGUGUGAACACGUGUGGAUUGUGUGCGAGUGAGAAUGCAGGCAUGAGUAACGAAUUGUAAGGUGAGAAUCCUUACCGCCGGAUGACUAAGGGUUCCUGGGUCAAGUUCGUCUUCCCAGGGUGAGUCGGGACCUAAGGCGAGGCCGACAGGCGUAGUCGAUGGAUAACCAGUUGAUAUUCUGGUACCCGAGUGUGUGCGUCAAUGGUAAAGCAGUGAUACUAACCAUGUUCGAGACUUAUUGAUUAUGCCCUUUUUGGGUAUGUUGAUAGGUUGAGUUUGUGGGGCCUGAUCUGUGGUCCAAGUGAUGGGGUGACGCAGUAGGGCAGCCACGCCGCUUAGUGGAUUGUUGGUGUAAGCGUUGAGGUUGGUGCCAUUGGUAAAUCCGGGUGCUGUAUCCAAGGCGUGAUGCAUAGCCCUUUUUUGGGUGAAUGUGGUGUGCUUGUGCUGUCGAGAAAAGCCUCUAGCGAGUGCAUAUUCGGCCCGUACCCUAAACCGACACAGGUAGUCAGGUUGAGAAUACUAAGGCGUUCGGGUGAACUGUGGUUAAGGAACUCGGCAAAAUGUCCCCGUAACUUCGGGAGAAGGGGAGCCUCACUGGUUGUAUAGGCUGGUGGGGCCGCAGAGAAUAGAGGGGUCCGACUGUUUAUCAAAAACACAGGUCCAUGCGAAAACGUGAAGUUGAUGUAUAUGGACUGACGCCUGCCCGGUGCUGGAAGGUUAAGAGGACCUGUUAGACCUUUUGUGGUCGAAGCGGAGAAUUUAAGCCCCAGUAAACGGCGGUGGUAACUAUAACCAUCCUAAGGUAGCGAAAUUCCUUGUCGGGUAAGUUCCGACCUGCACGAAUGGCGUAACGAGACCCCUGCUGUCUCAACCACAGGCCCGGUGAAAUUGCAGUACGAGUAAAGAUGCUCGUUACGCGCGGCAGGACGAAAAGACCCCGGGACCUUCACUAUAGCUUGGUAUUGGUGUUCGGUUUGGCUUGUGUAGGAUAGGUGGGAGACUGUGAAGUAUGCACGCUAGUGUCUGUGGAGUCGUUGUUGAAAUACCACUCUGGCUUGAUCGGAUACCUGAACCUUGGCCCAUGAUCUGGGUUGGGGACAGUGCCUGGUGGGUAGUUUAACUGGGGCGGUUGCCUCCUAAAGAGUAACGGAGGCGCCCAAAGGUUUCCUCAGCCUGGUUGGCAAUCAGGUUUUGAGUGUAAGUGCACAAGGAAGCUUGACUGUGAGAGUGACUGCUCGAGCAGGGACGAAAGUCGGGACUAGUGAUCCGGCACCUACUUGUGGAUGUGGUGUCGCUCAACGGAUAAAAGGUACCCCGGGGAUAACAGGCUGAUCUUCCCCAAGAGUCCAUAUCGACGGGAUGGUUUGGCACCUCGAUGUCGGCUCGUCGCAUCCUGGGGCUGGAGUAGGUCCCAAGGGUUGGGCUGUUCGCCCAUUAAAGCGGCACGCGAGCUGGGUUCAGAACGUCGUGAGACAGUUCGGUCUCUAUCCGCCGCGCGCGUAGAAACUUGAAAAAGGCUGUCCCUAGUACGAGAGGACCGGGAUGGAUACACCUCUAGUGUGCCAGUUGUCACGCCCGUGGCAUGGCUGGUUGGCUACGUGUAGAAGGGAUAACCGCUGAAAGCAUCUAAGCGGGAAGCCUGUUUUGAGAUGAGGUUUCGUUAUUGAGGCGCCCUAGAGAUUAUGGGGUUGAUAGGCUAGAUCUGGAAGCGUUGUAAGGCGUGGAGGUGACUGGUACUAAUUCGCCGAACUACUACAACAC